RNAcentral lists this ribosomal RNA (101 nucleotides) under Danio rerio (zebrafish). The record is from RNAcentral. Lineage: Eukaryota; Metazoa; Chordata; Actinopteri; Cypriniformes; Danionidae.
UCCGGCAGUUAGCUCUCUGCAUGGUCACCCACUGAAGCAGAGCUGCGCCCGGUCAGUACCUGGGUGGGAGACCACAUAGGAAAACUAGGUUGCUGCCAGAA